RNAcentral lists this ribosomal RNA (254 nucleotides) under uncultured bacterium. Its description in RNAcentral is "partial 16S ribosomal RNA". It matches the Rfam family "Bacterial small subunit ribosomal RNA", at positions 524 to 776 of the family's 1533-position model. The record is from RNAcentral.
UACGGGGGGAGCAAGCGUUGUUCGGAUUUACUGGGCGUAAAGGGCGCGUAGGCGGUCAGCACAAGUCAGUUGUGAAAUCUCCGAGCUUAACUCGGAAAGGUCAACUGAUACUGUGCGACUAGAGUGCAGAAGGGGCAACUGGAAUUCUCGGUGUAGCGGUGAAAUGCGUAGAUAUCGAGAGGAACACCUGCGGCGAAGGCGGGUUGCUGGGCUGACACUGACGCUGAGGCGCGGAAGCUAGGGGAGCGAACGGG